Conger conger (European conger) is the source of this 385-nucleotide non-coding RNA. Lineage: Eukaryota; Metazoa; Chordata; Actinopteri; Anguilliformes; Congridae. The record is from the annotation of a RefSeq genome assembly.
CUCAGUCUGUACUUUAACUCAGCACUCCUCCUUCUCUCCUGCAGCCAUGAAGCUCCUACCAGCCCUGCUGCUCCUCACAGCUCUCACUCUCUCAGGUGUUCAGGGUGAGAUUGUCCUGACAGAAUCUGAAGCAGUGGUAAAGAGACCAGGAGACUCUCACACACUGACCUGUACAGCCUCUGGGUUCACAUUCAGCAGCUACUGGAUGGGCUGGAUCAGACAGGCUCCAGGGAAGGGACUGGACUGGUUGGCCAGUGAUGGUGGUUAUGCCAAUACUGUUAAGGGAAGAUUCACCUUCUCCCGAGACAACAGCAAGAACCAGCUGUAUCUACAGAUGAACAGCCUGACAGCUGAAGACACUGCUGUGUAUUACUGUGCCAAGUGA